Molecule: ribosomal RNA, 435 nt
Filed under: uncultured bacterium
Lineage: Bacteria
Description: bacterial SSU rRNA
Rfam family: Bacterial small subunit ribosomal RNA
Source: RNAcentral
AACGCGAAGAACCUUACCUACUCUUGACAUCCAGAGAACUUAGCAGAGAUGCUUUGGUGCCUUCGGGAACUCUGAGACAGGUGCUGCAUGGCUGUCGUCAGCUCGUGUUGUGAAAUGUUGGGUUAAGUCCCGCAACGAGCGCAACCCUUAUCCUUUGUUGCCAGCGGUUAGGCCGGGAACUCAAAGGAGACUGCCAGUGAUAAACUGGAGGAAGGUGGGGAUGACGUCAAGUCAUCAUGGCCCUUACGAGUAGGGCUACACACGUGCUACAAUGGCGCAUACAAAGAGAAGCGACCUCGCGAGAGCAAGCGGACCUCAUAAAGUGCGUCUUAGUCCGGAUUGGAGUCUGCAACUCGACUCCAUGAAGUCGGAAUCGCUAGUAAUCGUGGAUCAGAAUGCCACGGUGAGUACGUUCCCGGGUCUUGUACACACCGA